Molecule: ribosomal RNA, 460 nt
Filed under: uncultured bacterium
Lineage: Bacteria
Description: partial 16S ribosomal RNA
Rfam family: Bacterial small subunit ribosomal RNA
Source: RNAcentral
CCUACGGGUGACAGCAGUGAGGAAUAUUGGUCAAUGGGCGCGAGCCUGAACCAGCCAAGUAGCGUGAAGGAUGACUGCCCUACGGGUUGUAAACUUCUUUUAUAAAGGAAUAAAGUGAUGCACGUGUGCCUUUUUGUAUGUACUUUAUGAAUAAAGAUCUGCUAACUCCGUGCCAGCAACCGCGGUAAUACGGAGGAUCCGAGCGUUAUCCGGAUUUAUUGGGGUUAAAGGGAGCGUAGAUGGGUUGUUAAGUCAGUUGUGAAAGUUUGCGGCUCAACCGUAAAAGUGCACUCGAUACUGGAAGGCUUGAGUACAGGUGAGGUAGGCGGAAUUCGUGGUGUAGCGGUGAAAUGCUUAGAUAUCACGAAGAACCCCGAUUGCGAAGGCAGCUUACUAAACUGCCACUGACAUUGAUGCUCGAAAGUGUGGGUAUCAAACAGGAUUAGAUACCCCGGUAGUC